RNAcentral lists this ribosomal RNA (253 nucleotides) under uncultured bacterium. RNAcentral describes it as "partial 16S ribosomal RNA". It matches the Rfam family "Bacterial small subunit ribosomal RNA", at positions 524 to 776 of the family's 1533-position model. The record is from RNAcentral.
GACGGAGGGUGGGAGCGUUAAUCGGAAUUACUGGGCGUAAAGCGCAUGUAGGCGGCCGAACAAGUCAGGUGUGAAAUCCUCGGGCUUAACCUGGGAAGUGCACUUGAUACUGUCCGGCUAGAGUUUGGCAGAGGAAAGUAGAAUUCCCGGUGUAGCAGUGAAAUGCGUAGAUAUCGGGAGGAAUACCAGUGGCGAAGGCGGCUUUCUGGGCCAAUACUGACGCCGAGGUGCGAAAGCGUGGGGAGCAAACAGG